CUACGGGGCGCUGCAGUGAGGAAUAUUGCACAAUGGGGGGAACCCUGAUGCAGCAACGCCGCGUGGAGGAUGACGCAUUUCGGUGUGUAAACUCCUUUUAUAUGUCAAGAAAAUGACGGUAGCAUAUGAAUAAGCACCGGCUAGACUCCGUGCCAGCAGCCGCGGUAAUAAGGAGGGUGCAAGCGUUACUCGGAAUCACUGGGCGUAAAGGACGCGUAGGCGGGUUGGAAAGUCAGGUGUGAAAUCCUACAGCUUAACUGUAGAACUGCACUUGAAACUUCUAAUCUAGAGUAUGGGAGGGGGAGAUGGAAUUAGUGGUGUAGGGGUAAAAUCCGUAGAUAUCACUAGGAAUACCUAAAGCGAAGGCGAUCUCCUGGAACAUUACUGACGCUAAGGCGUGAAAGCGUGGGGAGCAAACAGGAUUAGAUACCCGCGUAGUC
RNAcentral lists this ribosomal RNA (440 nucleotides) under uncultured bacterium. RNAcentral's name for it is "partial 16S ribosomal RNA". It matches the Rfam family "Bacterial small subunit ribosomal RNA", at positions 339 to 795 of the family's 1533-position model. The record is from RNAcentral.